Molecule: small nuclear RNA, 81 nt
Organism: Cricetulus griseus (Chinese hamster)
Lineage: Eukaryota; Metazoa; Chordata; Mammalia; Rodentia; Cricetidae
Source: Ensembl
AAAUUGCAAUGAUACAGGGAGGAUUAAGCAUGGCCCCUGCGAAAGGAUGACGUGCAAAUUCGUGAAGCACAAAGAGAGAGA